CCUGCCAUGCCCCUAACCUCCAGGGAGGGAAGAGGGGCUGGAGAUUGAAUCCAAUUACCCAAUGGCCAGUGAUUCAAUCAACCAUGCCUAAGAAACGAAGGGUUUGGAGAACUUCCGGGUUGGUGAAGAAGAAGUCUUAUAUUUGGCACCUACCACAUAUCAAGGUCAGAAGACACAGUGGGGAACGGCCAGAUGGAGCCCUUUCUCUCAGAGCACGUGGACUAGCAAAAAUCCUAGACUCAGGAUCGACUUCCCUGCUCAGGCAAGGCCCCUUCCCCACCUCACUGGUGUCUAACCCCCAACUACCUAGUUUUAGGUUUAGUUAGGAAGAAUUGUCUCAAUAACAGUCUCUUAAAAAGUUAAGAUAGUUUUGAAUAGAGAUGACAAUAUUGGGUAUUUACAAAUCGGAUAUUUAGAAUAUUUGCAAAUUUACAAAUUCUGGGUCACGUAUUCUGCUCCAACUUGUAAUGCAGGCGCACUUGGCUGCUCUGGAAACCAGAAAACGUUGAGAUUGAAUUCAAAUCAAGUAUUUCAGAAAUCUCACAGGUGAAGCCCAGCUCCUGGUUGCUGGGCAACCUGACCGCCUCUCCAGCAGGGACCAAC
Molecule: long non-coding RNA, 603 nt
Filed under: Equus caballus (horse)
Lineage: Eukaryota; Metazoa; Chordata; Mammalia; Perissodactyla; Equidae
Description: lncRNA (ENSECAG00000056076.1)
Source: RNAcentral